Molecule: ribosomal RNA, 747 nt
Filed under: Acinetobacter schindleri
Lineage: Bacteria; Pseudomonadati; Pseudomonadota; Gammaproteobacteria; Moraxellales; Moraxellaceae
Description: bacterial SSU rRNA
Rfam family: Bacterial small subunit ribosomal RNA
Source: RNAcentral
GCGUAAGCGUGCGUAGGCGGCUUUUUAAGUCGGAUGUGAAAUCCCUGAGCUUAACUUAGGAAUUGCAUUCGAUACUGGAAAGCUAGAGUAUGGGAGAGGAUGGUAGAAUUCCAGGUGUAGCGGUGAAAUGCGUAGAGAUCUGGAGGAAUACCGAUGGCGAAGGCAGCCAUCUGGCCUAAUACUGACGCUGAGGUACGAAAGCAUGGGGAGCAAACAGGAUUAGAUACCCUGGUAGUCCAUGCCGUAAACGAUGUCUACUAGCCGUUGGGGCCUUUGAGGCUUUAGUGGCGCAGCUAACGCGAUAAGUAGACCGCCUGGGGAGUACGGUCGCAAGACUAAAACUCAAAUGAAUUGACGGGGGCCCGCACAAGCGGUGGAGCAUGUGGUUUAAUUCGAUGCAACGCGAAGAACCUUACCUGGCCUUGACAUACUAAGAACUUUCCAGAGAUGGAUUGGUGCCUUCGGGAACUUAGAUACAGGUGCUGCAUGGCUGUCGUCAGCUCGUGUCGUGAGAUGUUGGGUUAAGUCCCGCAACGAGCGCAACCCUUUUCCUUAUUUGCCAGCGGGUUAUGCCGGGAACUUUAAGGAUACUGCCAGUGACAAACUGGAGGAAGGCGGGGACGACGUCAAGUCAUCAUGGCCCUUACGGCCAGGGCUACACACGUGCUACAAUGGUCGGUACAAAGGGUUGCUACCUCGCGAGAGGAUGCUAAUCUCAAAAAGCCGAUCGUAGUCCGGAUCGCAGUC